This 547-nucleotide small RNA is filed under the name Pongo abelii (Sumatran orangutan). RNAcentral's name for it is "retained intron". Lineage: Eukaryota; Metazoa; Chordata; Mammalia; Primates; Hominidae. The record is from RNAcentral.
AGAACUACCAGGACACUCAGCUGAUGUGCCCUGUUUCACUGUUCUCAGUUCUGCCACCCUACCCAUCACCUUCAAGUGCCUGGAAGAGAACAAUGGCGUGGACAAGCGCGUCACCAGAUUCGUGCUCCCUGUAGGAGCCACCAUUAACAUGGAUGGGACUGCCCUCUAUGAGGCUUUGGCUGCCAUUUUCAUUGCUCAAGUUAACAACUUUGAACUGAACUUCGGACAAAUUAUUACAAUCAGCAUCACAGCCACAGCUGCCAGCAUUGGGGCAGCUGGAAUUCCUCAGGCGGGCCUGGUCACUAUGGUCAUUGUGCUGACAUCUGUCGGCCUGCCCACUGACGACAUCACGCUCAUCAUCGCAGUGGACUGGUUCCUGGAUCGCCUCCGGACCACCACCAACGUACUGGGAGACUCCCUGGGAGCCGGGAUUGUGGAGCACUUGUCACGACAUGAACUGAAGAACAGAGAUGCUGAAAUGGGUAACUCAGUGAUUGAAGAGAAUGAAAUGAAGAAACCAUAUCAACUGAUUGCACAGGACAAUGAA